GAUGAACGCUGGCGGCGUGCUUAUCACAUGCAAGUCGAACGGAAAGGCCCAAGCUUGCUUGGGUACUCGAGUGGCGAACGGGUGAGUAACACGUGGGUGAUCUGCCCUGCACUUCGGGAUAAGCCUGGGAAACUGGGUCUAAUACCGGAUAGGACCACUUCUUGGAUGUUGUGGUGGAAAGUUUUUUCGGUGUGGGAUGAGCUCGCGGCCUAUCAGCUUGUUGGUGGGGUAAUGGCCUACCAAGGCGUCGACGGGUAGCCGGCCUGAGAGGGUGUACGGCCACAUUGGGACUGAGAUACGGCCCAGACUCCUACGGGAGGCAGCAGUGGGGAAUAUUGCACAAUGGGCGCAAGCCUGAUGCAGCGACGCCGCGUGGGGGAUGACGGCCUUCGGGUUGUAAACUCCUUUCGCUAGGGACGAAGCGUUUUGUGACGGUACCUGGAGAAGAAGCACCGGCUAACUACGUG
This 467-nucleotide ribosomal RNA is filed under the name uncultured bacterium. RNAcentral's name for it is "partial 16S ribosomal RNA". It matches the Rfam family "Bacterial small subunit ribosomal RNA", at positions 28 to 507 of the family's 1533-position model. The record is from RNAcentral.